RNAcentral lists this long non-coding RNA (2559 nucleotides) under Taeniopygia guttata (zebra finch). RNAcentral's name for it is "lncRNA (ENSTGUG00000027660.1)". Lineage: Eukaryota; Metazoa; Chordata; Aves; Passeriformes; Estrildidae. The record is from RNAcentral.
UUUUGAAAGUUAUAUGCAUCCUUUAAUAGGAAGUUUCACAGUUACAAAAGAAACAUUGUUUUCUUUAUAUAAACAAAAUACCCUUACAGCCUUCAAAACAAAAUGUUUUGCCUUAUUCCCUAUGCUCAGCUAUCUAAAAUAUAGAAAUUGUCAUCUAGCUUCAGUCAAAAAGACAUGCUAGUUCCAUGCAGUAUAUAUUAAAUACAGAAAGAAAUUAAUUGUUAUUAUAUCUAGGCAAUUUUGUAUUUGAAAGGACAUAUACCUUUCAAGUAUGUCCACCCAGUACCAUCUAUUGCAUUUUUGCAAAACAUGUUAACAUCUUCACACACCACCAAUUAGAUGUGCCCCUCAAGUCCUGGCACAUGGAAAUAAUCCAUUUAAAAAGCACAAGAGAACAGACUUGAGACCACUCAAAGCACAUUCCCCAAAGUGUAGUGAAAGUGUAGUGUUUCAGCAUGGUAAGUAGCACACUAAAGCAAGCUGGGAAACAACACUUCCUAACUGGUAUAAACAGUCUGGACUGGGACUCCUGUUAAGGGCAGGAAUGCAAGUCAACAGUAGCACAUCUUUUCCAGUCUCUUCACAGCCAGAGGGAAGAGCAACAGUGACAAGCAUUGCCUAGAGAGACAAAAGUGCUUAGCAAUGCUCUCCUUAUCCCAGCCCAUUCUAUCUGAAACAACCAUCCAGGGCACAUGGAGACCAGGAGUUAGAACACUGGGAGAAAGUGAAGACUUAAACUGAUACAAUUUGAUGUCACACAGAUUUCGAGAACAAAUACAGAAGCAUGGCUAAGCCAGGUUUAUCUCAACUGAACAGUGGCAGCCAAUAAACACCUGCCCUUUUUCUAUCUGAUUGUUUUCAGUCAAGCAGAAAUUAAUCACUGAAAGCACUGUAUGUGCCUCAGUUAAUUCUCAUGGAAGUCUUCCAAAAAUUCAGUGUGUUAUUAGGCCUCUGCAGGAAGAGAAUUUUGCCCUGAUUAGUACCUUCUUUUCUAUUUCCUUGUUAAGCAAAGGAGCUUGGAAAAAAACCUAGGCAUUCACAGAUCUCAUUUCAGAAAUAUAAUUAAAGAUUCUGGUAGUAAAACAAUUGACAAGAUACAACUCUUUUGCUCAUCUACAUAACGUGCAGUCAGGGUUACAUAAAAAGCUAAUGUAAGACACCCCUUUUUUCAGAAGAGGUACUAUCGAUACUGUCAUAAUGAUGCAUUAGAAUGGUAUAAUUUGUGCUCUGCAAAAUGACUGAUUUCAAAUAUUUUGGGUACAUUGGUUUCAUACAGUGACUUCUGUUAAUUCUUUAUCAUUAUUCUGACUGCCUUUAAGAGCACCAACUUUUAUACAUCACAUAACUAUUCUGUGAAGGUAUAUCUAAGUAAAAAUACACCCAAAUAACAAGAGUCCUACUUGUUGCAACUGCUCUUAUUUUAACUAUUACUGUAAUGCUUAACUCAUGAAAAUCUUCACAUACAGGAAUAAAAGCUACAUAAUUAAAAUAUGCUCAUGACAUGCACCACACAAGGAAAAUUAUGUUACAAUACAUUUUCAGUAUUCUGUAUGCUGAAUCUUACCUUAUACAGAAAUAUGUCUGGCAACAUGUUUAAACACUAUACUUAUUUUCCCACUAUUUUUGAAGAUUAUGGGUUUUGAGUGCAUAUUGCAUUUUCUUCAGGCACAGAUAUGGUUGACCUCAGUUUUUAUUUUGAAAUCAAUAUGUGUGAUAGGACAAGGAAGCAUAUAAGGAAGUUGAAGUUAAAUUAAAAGCAGGUAUAAGCAUGUAUUUUAUUAUGGAGAAUCACACAAGUAAGAUAGUAAAAUCUGACUUCUCAUCACAUUGAAUUUUCUUUCACUAUUUUGUUAUAGGAAACGUAUUUUUUAUAAUGUAAAUUUUGUAGAAUCAUCCCCAGACUAAAGCUGUGGCAUCCUGCUGUAUCCCCAAAGAAUUACUUACACAAUCCCAUUGAUUGAAAUUCAAGCCACUCAUUUAAUGUUUCAACUCUACGUAGAAUUAAAAUAAGGAUCAGUUUAGACUCUAACAAUGUUUUUAUGUACUUUAGUUUCUAUUUUACUCAUUGUUAGUAGCUUAGUGAAAAUGUCUGAAGAUGCCCUGUUGAAUUUGUCUUUCUGAACAUUUGGUCAGUACCUGAAAUGAAGCACAGCCAUCUUUUGCCCUUUUAUUCACCUUAGGAAAGUUAGAUCCUUAAAUGGAUAAAGGAAUUCAGUGUCUCACAUGCACAAGCAAGGCAAUGCUCAGUGAACCUGUCUGUGUUAUUACAGCACACCAACUUCUCCAUGUCAUUCUCAUCACAGGUGAUUUGGAGAGUUCCACCAGAGAGCAAUUCAGCCCAUUUACAAUCUGAAAUAUCUUCUGACAGUGUCUGCCUCGUUCUAGUGACUAGACAGGGAGUCCAGGUGAACUAAGUUUAUCUCUUAAUGGAAUUCAAUUAAACAAUGGCAAUUACAGCUCUCCAUAGCUAUGUCAACACUUACCUUCUGGGGAGUGACCUGGGGUUUUGGUCCCCUGGUCAUUUAUAUGAGGCAUCUUUUGAGAAACACCACUGUAUCU